RNAcentral lists this non-coding RNA (62 nucleotides) under unclassified sequences. RNAcentral's name for it is "pemK RNA". It matches the Rfam family "pemK RNA". The record is from RNAcentral.
AUAAUGAGACUUUCGUAGAAGUACGACUCGGUGCGAACCACGGAGAGGCUAGUUACCUAUGA